AACGAACGCUGGCGGCAUGCCUAACACAUGCAAGUCGAACGAGACCUUCGGGUCUAGUGGCGCUCGGGUGCGUAACGCGUGGGAACCUGCCCUUAGGUUCGGAAUAACUCCCCGUAAGGGGUGCUAAUACCGGUUAAUGUCUUCGCGCCAAAGAUUUAUCGCCUUUGGAUGGGCCCGCGUUGGCUUAGCUGGUUGGUAGUGUAAAAGCCUACCAAGGCGACGUUCCAUAGCUGGUCUGAGAGGAUGAUCAGCCACACUGGGACUGAGACACGGCCCAAACUGCUAGGGGAGGCAGCAGUGGGGAAUAUUGGACAAUGGGCGAAAGCCUGAUCCAGCAAUGCCGCGUGAGUGAUGAAGGCGUUAGGGUUGUAAAGCUCUUUGAGACGAGAUGAUAAUGACAGUACCGGGAGAAUAAGCACCGGCUAACUCCGUG
RNAcentral lists this ribosomal RNA (433 nucleotides) under uncultured bacterium. RNAcentral's name for it is "partial 16S ribosomal RNA". It matches the Rfam family "Bacterial small subunit ribosomal RNA", at positions 29 to 507 of the family's 1533-position model. The record is from RNAcentral.